GUAGACUGUUAGGCAACUAAAAAACAAUAUACUGCUAAAAUGAUUGUAGAUGAAACAAAAUCACUAGACGGAUGCACGGGAAGACUAGAAAGGAUAAAAUUAUAAUCAAACUUAUCCGAGGAAUAGGUGGCCGCACAAAUUGAUGUGUUUUUACUUCCCUUACUUCCUUCCUCUAGAUUUUGAGUCAUAACGGUACGACUUUUUCUUCUUGCGAAUCAUCACAUUCGGACCUCCUCCACCCUCCUUGAAUGGCAUCCCCAUGAGGGCCAGAAGCCUCUGAGCCUCAUUAUCGGUUUUCGCUGUGGUGGUUAUGCAGACAUCCAUUCCUUUCUGCUUGCCAAGCGCCUCAUACCUGAUCUCAGGGAACACACUCUGGUCACGCAUGCCGAUGCUGAAAUUACCAUGCCCAUCGAAACUGUUCGGGUUGACACCUUGGAAGUCCCUGGUACGAGGGAGACCUAAGUUGACAAGUCGAUCCAGGAAGGAGUACAUCAUGUUCCCGCGGAGUGUGACUGCAAUUCCAACAACAGUCCCCUCCCUAAGCUUAAACGCCGCAAUCGAAUUCUUCGCCUUCGUCUUCACCGGCCGCUGCCCUGUAAUCAGGGACAAAUCCCUAAUCGCCGCCUCCAGCCCCUUGGAGUUCUGCUCCGCAUCCCCCAUCCCGCAAUUCACUACUAUCUUCUCAAUCUUCGGCACCUCGUGGACAUUCUUG
RNAcentral lists this unclassified non-coding RNA (712 nucleotides) under Hevea brasiliensis (rubber tree). The record is from RNAcentral. Lineage: Eukaryota; Viridiplantae; Streptophyta; Magnoliopsida; Malpighiales; Euphorbiaceae.